RNAcentral lists this long non-coding RNA (777 nucleotides) under Vulpes vulpes (red fox). RNAcentral's name for it is "lncRNA (ENSVVUG00000029102.1)". Lineage: Eukaryota; Metazoa; Chordata; Mammalia; Carnivora; Canidae. The record is from RNAcentral.
AUGUUUUGGUUGCUUCCAGGAAGAUUUUAUUUGCUGACCCAGGGGGCAUAUAAGGAGUCCCACCACUACGUUACCACCCUGACAUCUAGCACAAAACACAGUAAUAGCCAUUUACAGCGCUCGUUGCCUCUUCCAUUCUCUGAACCAGCAUCUAUGGACCAUGAGACAUUAUUUUCAGCAACUCAACUUCCUGCAGUCACCUGAAUCCAUGAAAAACCUUUUCUAAGCAGGAUUUUUCAGAAUCUGAAGGUUGGCAACCAGGGAUGGAGAGGGACCCUGAAACCCAGCUUGAGAUGAGGAUUAAGACAAGUGGAGCUGUGGGAGCAGGCUUUCUGUGGGAGGCCCGACUGGGUGUCUGUAGAGUCACCCUCAUCUGCCAGGAUUAAUACCAACAGGGGAGAGCAACCAAGAUAAGACAGCCCAGAGCUCUAGCUCCAUGGCAGGACAAGUGCUGCCCUGGGAAUGAAGGAAGCAAGCUCUCCGUAUGGAAAGAGAGCAGCUGAGAUGUGUGUCGCCAUGAAGCUAGUUGCUGCAUGGACAUAUGCCAGCACAUGUGGCAUUUAAGAACCUGCACUGCUAUGGUGCCACUCUCCUGCCCAGCUCAGACCCUGGCCUCACAUUACCAGUUGUGUGUGUGGGCAAGUUACUUCAUCUCUCCAAAACAGGGGUUGUGAGGGUUAAAUAAGAAAUAUUUGUCCCAUUCCCCCAAAAAGGAUCUUGGAAGUUCUGUAGUGCAUAGAAAUGAAACCUUUCUCCAAGAGCUGGCCUGCUCCAAGG